This 1148-nucleotide ribosomal RNA is filed under the name uncultured Synechococcus sp. RNAcentral describes it as "bacterial SSU rRNA". It matches the Rfam family "Bacterial small subunit ribosomal RNA", at positions 122 to 1303 of the family's 1533-position model. The record is from RNAcentral. Lineage: Bacteria; Bacillati; Cyanobacteriota; Cyanophyceae; Synechococcales; Synechococcaceae.
GAAUCUGCCCUCAGGAGGGGGACAACAGCUGGAAACGGCUGCUAAUACCCCAUAUGCCGCGAGGUGAAAUGAAUUUCGCCUGAGGAUGAGCUCGCGUCUGAUUAGCUAGUUGGUGUAGGUAAUGGCUCACCAAGGCAUCGAUCAGUAGCUGGUCUGAGAGGAUGAUCAGCCACACUGGGACCGAGACACGGCCCAGACUCCUACGGGAGGCAGCAGUGGGGAAUUUUCCGCAAUGGGCGAAAGCCUGACGGAGCAACGCCGCGUGAGGGAUGAAGGCCUCUGGGCUGUAAACCUCUUUUAUCAAGGAAGAAGAUCUGACGGUACUUGAUGAAUAAGCCACGGCUAAUUCCGUGCCAGCAGCCGCGGUAAUACGGGAGUGGCAAGCGUUAUCCGGAAUUAUUGGGCGUAAAGCGUCCGCAGGCGGCCCUUCAAGUCUGCUGUUAAAAAGUGGAGCUUAACUCCAUCAUGGCAGUGGAAACUGUUGGGCUUGAGUGUGGUAGGGGCAGAGGGAAUUCCCGGUGUAGCGGUGAAAUGCGUAGAUAUCGGGAAGAACACCAGUGGCGAAGGCGCUCUGCUGGGCCAUCACUGACGCUCAUGGACGAAAGCCAGGGGAGCGAAAGGGAUUAGAUACCCCUGUAGUCCUGGCCGUAAACGAUGAACACUAGGUGUCGGGGGAAUCGACCCCCUCGGUGUCGUAGCCAACGCGUUAAGUGUUCCGCCUGGGGAGUACGCACGCAAGUGUGAAACUCAAAGGAAUUGACGGGGGCCCGCACAAGCGGUGGAGUAUGUGGUUUAAUUCGAUGCAACGCGAAGAACCUUACCAGGGUUUGACAUCCUGCGAAUCUCUUGGAAACAGGAGAGUGCCUUCGGGAACGCAGUGACAGGUGGUGCAUGGCUGUCGUCAGCUCGUGUCGUGAGAUGUUGGGUUAAGUCCCGCAACGAGCGCAACCCACGUCUUUAGUUGCCAGCAUUUAGUUGGGCACUCUAGAGAGACUGCCGGUGAUAAACCGGAGGAAGGUGUGGAUGACGUCAAGUCAUCAUGCCCCUUACAUCCUGGGCUACACACGUACUACAAUGCUACGGACAAAGGGCAGCAAGUUCGCGAGGACAAGCAAAUCCCAUAAACCGUGGCUCAGUUCAGAUCGUAG